UUUCCGGUUCCAUGAGAGGAGCGAAGGAAUCAAAAGGGAAUCCGGUGAGAAUCCGGAACAGUACCCGCUGCUGUAAGUCCUCGGGAAAUGUCGGCGACACAUGCCGUCAGAUCCCCAUACAGCGUCGCAAGGCCAUUGGGAUACCAACUCCCGAGAAGGCGCGGCGCCAUGGACAAGUCAGAAGACCUGCCGUUUCGC
Molecule: non-coding RNA, 198 nt
Filed under: human gut metagenome
Source: RNAcentral